CCUACGGGUGGCAGCAGUGGGGAAUAUUGCACAAUGGGGGAAACCCUGAUGCAGCGACGCCGCGUGAGUGAAGAAGUAUCUCGGUAUGUAAAGCUCUAUCAGCAGGGAAGAAAAUGACGGUACCUGACUAAGAAGCCCCGGCUAACUACGUGCCAGCAGCCGCGGUAAUACGUAGGGGGCAAGCGUUAUCCGGAUUUACUGGGUGUAAAGGGAGCGUAGACGGCGCUGCAAGUCCGGAGUGAAAGCCCAUGGCUUAACCAUGGUACUGCUCUGGAAACUGUGGAGCUUGAGUGCGGGAGGGGCAGGCGGAAUUCCUAGUGUAGCGGUGAAAUGCUUAGAUAUCACGAAGAACUCCGAUUGCGAAGGCAGCUUACUAAACUGCCACUGACAUUGAUGCUCGAAAGUGUGGGUAUCAAACAGGAUUAGAUACCCUGGUAGUC
This 440-nucleotide ribosomal RNA is filed under the name uncultured bacterium. RNAcentral describes it as "partial 16S ribosomal RNA". It matches the Rfam family "Bacterial small subunit ribosomal RNA", at positions 338 to 795 of the family's 1533-position model. The record is from RNAcentral.